GAUGAACGCUGGCGGCGUGCCUAAUACAUGCAAGUCGAGCGGUAAGGCCUCUUCGGAGGUACACGAGCGGCGGACGGCUGAGUAACGCGUAGGAACGUACCCCAAAGUGAGGGAUAAGCACCAGAAAUGGUGUCUAAUACCGCAUGUGACCUAAGGAUUAAAGCUUCGGCGCUUUGGGAACGGCCUGCGUUCGAUUAGCUAGUUGGUGAGGUAAAAGCUUACCAAGGCGACGGUCGAUAGCUGGUCUGAGAGGAUGAUCAGCCAGACUGGGACUGAGACACGGCCCAGACUCCUACGGGAGGCAGCAGUAGGGAAUUUUCCACAAUGGGCGAAAGCCUGAUGGAGCAACGCCGCGUGCAGGAUGAAUGCCUUCGGGUUGUAAACUGCUUUUAUAUGUGACGAUUAUGACGGUAGCAUAUGAAUAAGGAUCGGCUAACUCCGUGCCAGCCGCCGCGGUAA
Molecule: ribosomal RNA, 459 nt
Filed under: uncultured bacterium
Lineage: Bacteria
Description: partial 16S ribosomal RNA
Rfam family: Bacterial small subunit ribosomal RNA
Source: RNAcentral